This 484-nucleotide ribosomal RNA is filed under the name uncultured bacterium. RNAcentral describes it as "partial 16S ribosomal RNA". It matches the Rfam family "Bacterial small subunit ribosomal RNA", at positions 30 to 507 of the family's 1533-position model. The record is from RNAcentral.
AUUGAACGCUGGCGGCAGGCCUAACACAUGCAAGUCGAGCGGAUGAAGGGAGCUUGCUCCUGGAUUCAGCGGCGGACGGGUGAGUAAUGCCUAGGAAUCUGCCUGGUAGUGGGGGAUAACGUCCGGAAACGGGCGCUAAUACCGCAUACGUCCUGAGGGAGAAAGUGGGGGAUCUUCGGUCCUCACGCUAUCGGAUGAGCCUAGGUCGGAUUAGCUAGUUGGUGGGGUAAAGGCCUACCAAGGCGACGAUCCGUAACUGGUCUGAGAGGAUGAUCAGUCACACUGGAACUGAGACACGGUCCAGACUCCUACGGGAGGCAGCAGUGGGGAAUAUUGGACAAUGGGCGAAAGCCUGAUCCAGCCAUGCCGCGUGUGUGAAGAAGGUCUUCGGAUUGUAAAGCACUUUAAGUUGGGAGGAAGGGCAGUAAGUUAAUACCUUGCUGUUUUGACGUUACCAACAGAAUAAGCACCGGCUAACUUCGUG